CCUACGGGAGGCAGCAGUGAGGAAUAUUGGUCAAUGGACGAAAGUCUGAACCAGCCAAGUAGCGUGCAGGAUGACGGCCCUAUGGGUUGUAAACUUCUUUUGUACGGGGAUAAAGGCCUGUACGUAUAUAGUUCUGUAUGUACCGUACGAAUAAGGAUCGGCUAACUCCGUGCCAGCAGCCGCGGUAAUACGGAGGAUCCGAGCGUUAUCCGGAUUUAUUGGGUUUAAAGGGAGCGUAGGCGGACGCUUAAGUCAGAUGUGAAAUUCUGCGGCUCAACCGCGGAAUUGCAGUUGAUACUGGUCGUCUUGAGGGCAGCAGAGGUAGGCGGAAUGCGUGGUGUAGCGGUGAAAUGCUUAGAUAUCACGAAGAACACCGAUUGCGAAGGCAGCUUACCGGGCUGUGACUGACGCUGAGGCUCGAAAGUGUGGGUAUCAAACAGGAUUAGAUACCCGAGUAGUC
RNAcentral lists this ribosomal RNA (460 nucleotides) under uncultured bacterium. RNAcentral describes it as "partial 16S ribosomal RNA". It matches the Rfam family "Bacterial small subunit ribosomal RNA", at positions 338 to 795 of the family's 1533-position model. The record is from RNAcentral.